RNAcentral lists this ribosomal RNA (482 nucleotides) under uncultured bacterium. RNAcentral's name for it is "bacterial SSU rRNA". It matches the Rfam family "Bacterial small subunit ribosomal RNA", at positions 1 to 526 of the family's 1533-position model. The record is from RNAcentral.
ACUAGCAGUAAGAGUUUGAUCCUGGCUCAGAACGAACGCUGGCGGCAGGCUUAACACAUGCAAGUCGAACGCAUCCUUCGGGGUGAGUGGCAGACGGGUGAGUAACACGUGGGAACGUGCCCUUCAGUUCGGGAUAACCCAGGGAAACUUGGGCUAAUACCGGAUACGUCCGAGAGGAGAAAGAUUUAUCGCUGAAGGAUCGGCCCGCGUCUGAUUAGCUAGUUGGUGGGGUAAUGGCCUACCAAGGCGACGAUCAGUAGCUGGUCUGAGAGGAUGAUCAGCCACACUGGGACUGAGACACGGCCCAGACUCCUACGGGAGGCAGCAGUGGGGAAUAUUGGACAAUGGGCGCAAGCCUGAUCCAGCCAUGCCGCGUGAGUGAUGAAGGCCCUAGGGUUGUAAAGCUCUUUCGGCGGGGACGAUAAUGACGGUACCCGCAGAAGAAGCCCCGGCUAACUUCGUGCCAGCCGCCGCGGUAAUAC